UACGUAGGGGGCAAGCGUUGUCCGGAAUUACUGGGCGUAAAGGGCUCGUAGGCGGCCAACUAAGUCAUACGUGAAAUCCCUCAGCUUAACUGGGGAACUGCGUGUGAUACUGGAUGGCUUGGAUUUGGGAGAGGGAUGCGGAAUUCCAGGUGUAGCGGUGAAAUGCGUAGAUAUCUGGAGGAACACCGGUGGCGAAGGCGGCAUCCUGGACCAAUAUUGACGCUGAGGAGCGAAAGCCAGGGGAGCAAACGGG
RNAcentral lists this ribosomal RNA (253 nucleotides) under uncultured bacterium. RNAcentral describes it as "partial 16S ribosomal RNA". It matches the Rfam family "Bacterial small subunit ribosomal RNA", at positions 524 to 776 of the family's 1533-position model. The record is from RNAcentral.